Long non-coding RNA from Hibiscus syriacus, 978 nucleotides. RefSeq lists it as uncharacterized. Lineage: Eukaryota; Viridiplantae; Streptophyta; Magnoliopsida; Malvales; Malvaceae. The transcript has 2 exons. The record is from RefSeq and is a predicted model, not a curated record.
GCCCCCCUUUUUUUCUACUCUCUAUCCCCUCCAUUCAACACGUGGCCGCCGCUCUCCCUAGGACUCAAAGGCCAAACGUCGCCGACCAAACGCCGUACAUCGGCGCGAACUCACUCCGACCACCGUCGCUCCAGCAAGGAAGCCCAAACAACGACCUGAACGAAAACGCCUCAAAUUCUCUUCCACUCUCCUUCUCCCUCAAGCUCGAAACAUCCUAGGCCGAAAACCCAUGCCGUAAAUAGGCUUCAGCCGAAAUUACAACCACCACCAACGGUGGUCGGUUUAAACGUAGUCUAGACCUAAACCUCUGGGGUCCCUCUCCUUCCUCACGUGACCGGCGCCCCCAAAGAACUCGGCCACCAAGCCUCCUAGACACGACACCGUCGCCUCCUAGCCGUAAAUCGGCGCUGCUCUCCCAUGGGCCACCAUCUAUGGUGGCCGAACGAACCUAAAAACCGACCCUAAAGGAAAAAGACCCUCUUGCUCACAAUUUUUUUAUUGAAAAAUAUGGGAGAGCUAUUACAAUGGUGUUUUUUUUCGAACGGGGGCUGAGGAGGCUAUUACAAAUGCUCCCCUCUCCUUUUCUUUUUCGAUGUGGGGAACCAGGGACCUCCUCUCCAUUUUUAUUUUUUUGGGGGUUUUUAUACAACCCCUGCUACAAUGAAAAAAUAAAUUUCCAAUGCUUUUCUUUUUGUCCUUUCACGUGUGGCUUCGAUGGAGAUUAGGAGUCUGGUUUGUUUAACUGUUGGAGCGUUUGGGGCUUAGCUGGAGCGUUGAGGAGCACAAGUGAGGGACCACUGUGCUCGAUGGAGCCUUGUUGGCGGCUGUCGUGGCUUCGGGACCACUGUGGUGCUCGGUUGAGGUGCUGGCAGCUGGGGAGUGGGGACCAGCUGCUAAUGUGGUGCAAAAGGGUUUAGGCUUGAAUGUAAUGGUUGUAAUGGUUACUUGAGUUUGUAAAUGGAUAUUUUUAUUUAGACA